AGGACGAACGCUGGCGGCGUGCUUAACACAUGCAAGUCGAGCGGAAAGGCCCUUCGGGGUACUCGAGCGGCGAACGGGUGAGUAACACGUGAGUAAUCUGCCCCUAGCUCUGGGAUAGCUCCGGGAAACCGGGAUUAAUACUGGAUACGACCACCUUAGACAUCUUUUGUGGUGGAAAGAAUUUCGGCUAGGGAUGAGCUCGCGGCCUAUCAGCUUGUUGGUGGGGUAACGGCCUACCAAGGCGACGACGGGUAGCCGGCCUGAGAGGGCGACCGGCCACACUGGGACUGAGACACGGCCCAGACUCCUACGGGAGGCAGCAGUGGGGAAUAUUGCGCAAUGGGCGAAAGCCUGACGCAGCGACGCCGCGUGGGGGAUGAAGGCCUUCGGGUUGUAAACCCCUUUCGACCCGGACGAUAAUGACGGUACGGGUGGAAGAAGCCCGGCUAACUUCGUGCCAGCAGCCGC
Molecule: ribosomal RNA, 468 nt
Filed under: uncultured bacterium
Lineage: Bacteria
Description: SSU rRNA
Rfam family: Bacterial small subunit ribosomal RNA
Source: RNAcentral